Molecule: long non-coding RNA, 893 nt
Organism: Cucurbita maxima (winter squash)
Lineage: Eukaryota; Viridiplantae; Streptophyta; Magnoliopsida; Cucurbitales; Cucurbitaceae
Exons: 2
Source: RefSeq, a predicted model, not a curated record
GCUGACAACGAUACGUAACGAACGAAAGCAGACAAUAUCUACUGGUGGUGGGUUUGAGCUGUUACAAAGCAUGUUGAAAGGACUUGGGCUUGUUUACAAGUGAUGAUAAAGCAUGUCAUACGACACAUUCAGAUUGCUAGAGAAGCAGGGAAUUGGGAGUAUUGGAGCUAUCAAGUGCAGAAUCUUGGGUUGGGGACUUCGACUUGUUUGAUGGUCGUGCUGAUAUCUUUGACUUCCUUCUCAGAGGGCUGAGUUUAUAUAUCUUGAAGGACAGUAAUAAUAGUAAGAAGGCUUCAUAUCCUCAAAAUGCCCAGAUGAUUUGAUUUUCCCCAUUUCGAAUACUCUUCAUCCCAUCAUAUUUGCCUUGGCAUGGUAUUGGAACCUUUAGUCACUUCCCUUCAUUUAUUGUUGGGAAACGAACAUCAGAAUUCCCUUUUGGCAUGGAGGAAAAGACUAUGAUGCUUCACUGCGAGUUCGACUAACUAGUUAAGGGACAAGUUGCGAAACUAGGUAUCGUUGAAGUCAUGAGAUCAAAUUAUGGUAGCUAUUUAUGUAGUAUACUAACAGUUCCGAGUUUUGGAUGCCAAAUGUUAAAGGCGUGGAUGUCACAUAACAUCCAUAGAACCACAUGUGAGGUAGGCCAAACACUUGUUCAUACCUGGGAAAAGUGAAGUAACUUUAAUAUGUUGUCCGCUUGGAGGCAGUGCUUUUAUUUGAACUCUUUCUAUGGCCUUGACUGACUGAUGUGAGUACAAAGUUUCUUUCUGUUGAACUGAUAUAUAUUUGCCAAAAUAUUAGCGGAAGAGGGCAACGAAACAUUUCUUAUAAGGGUGUGGAAACCUCUCCCUAGUAGACGCAUUCUAAAAUCGUGAGCCUGACGGCGCUACGUAGCG